AAGAAAUUUUGGCUAAUGCCGCAUACGAAGCACGGUUUUAAGACUGUGUUUGAAAGAAUGCCUCUGCAUAUGCAUUCGCUAUUAGAUGGGCCUGCGGGACAUUAGCUAGUUGGUGGGGUAAAGGCCUACCAAGGCGACGAUGUCUAUCCGGUCUGAGAGGAUGAUCGGACACACUGGAACUGAGACACGGUCCAGACUCCUACGGGAGGCAGCAGUGGGGAAUAUUGCGCAAUGGGGGAAACCCUGACGCAGCAACGCCGCGUGAGUGAGGAAGGACUUCGGUCUGUAAAGCUCUGUUAAUGUGGAAAAAUGGCAGUUGGUCUAAUAGGCCGAUUGUUUGAUGGUACACAUAGAGGAAGCACCGGCUAACUUCGUGCCAGCAGCCGCGGUAAUACGAAGGGUGCAAGCGUUGUUCGGAUUUAUUGGGCGUAAAGCGCGCGUAGGCGGACCUGCAAGUCAGAUGUGAAAUCUCGGGGCUCAACCUCGAAACUGCGUCUGAAACUACAGGUCUAGAAUCUCGGAGGGGGAAGGGGAAUAUCGCAUGUAGGGGUAAAAUCCGUAGAUAUGCGAUGGAACACCAGAGGCGAAGGCGCCUUCCUGGACGAGUAUUGACGC
This 615-nucleotide ribosomal RNA is filed under the name Bacteriovorax sp. FCE. RNAcentral describes it as "bacterial SSU rRNA". It matches the Rfam family "Bacterial small subunit ribosomal RNA", at positions 151 to 746 of the family's 1533-position model. The record is from RNAcentral. Lineage: Bacteria; Pseudomonadati; Bdellovibrionota; Bacteriovoracia; Bacteriovoracales; Bacteriovoracaceae.